GACGAACGCUGGCGGCGUGCCUAAUACAUGCAAGUCGAGCGGAUGUAAGAGGAGCUUGCUCCUCUAGAUUCAGCGGCGGACGGGUGAGUAACACGUGGGCAACCUGCCCUGUAGAUUGGGAUAACUCCGGGAAACCGGGGCUAAUACCGAAUAAUCCUUCGGACCUCAUGGUCCGAUGUUGAAAGACGGUUUCGGCUGUCACUACAGGAUGGUCCCGCGGCCCAUUAGCUAGUUGGUGAGGUAACGGCUCACCAAGGCCACGAUGCGUAGCCGACCUGAAAGGGUGAUCGGCCACACGGGGACUGAGGCACGGCCCAGACUCCUACGGGAGGCAGCAGUAGGGAAACGUCCACAAUGGACGAAAGUCUGAUGGAGCAACGCCGCGUGAGUGAAGAAGGUUCUCGGAUCGUAAAACUCUGUUGUGAGGGAAGAACAAGUACCGGAGUAACUGCCGGUGCCUUGACGGUACCUCAUUAGAAAGCCACGGCUAACUACGUGCCAGCCGCCGCCGUAA
RNAcentral lists this ribosomal RNA (514 nucleotides) under uncultured bacterium. RNAcentral's name for it is "partial 16S ribosomal RNA". It matches the Rfam family "Bacterial small subunit ribosomal RNA", at positions 28 to 523 of the family's 1533-position model. The record is from RNAcentral.